Molecule: ribosomal RNA, 405 nt
Filed under: uncultured bacterium
Lineage: Bacteria
Description: bacterial SSU rRNA
Rfam family: Bacterial small subunit ribosomal RNA
Source: RNAcentral
UCGGGAAUAUUGCCCAAUGGACGCAAGUCUGAGGCAGCAACGCCGCGUGCGCGAUGAAGGCCUUCGGGUCGUAAAGCGCUUUUCGGGAGGAUGAGAGCGGACAGUACUCCCGGAAUAAGGGACGGCUAACUACGUGCCAGCAGCCGCGGUAAAACGUAGGUCCCGAGCGUUAUCCGGAUUUACUGGGCGUAAAGCGCGUUCAGGCGGCCGCGCAAGUCGGGCAUGAAAUCUCUCGGCUCAACCGGGAGGGGUUGUCCGAUACUGUGCGGCUGGAGGGCAGUAGAGGGUGGUGGAAUUCCGGGUGUAGUGGUGAAAUGCGUAGAGAUCCGGAGGAACACCAGUGGCGAAAGCGGCCACCUGGACUGUACCUGACGCUGCAACGCGAAAGCUAGGGGAGCGAACGGG